UAGAUGAUAACGUUGAUGAUGAUAACGUUGAUGAUGAUAACGUUGAUGAUGAUAACGUUGAUGAUGAUAACGUUGAUGAUGAUGACGAUGAUGCU
Molecule: transfer RNA, 95 nt
Filed under: Pyrenophora tritici-repentis
Lineage: Eukaryota; Fungi; Ascomycota; Dothideomycetes; Pleosporales; Pleosporaceae
Description: tRNA-Gly
Source: RNAcentral